This 1391-nucleotide unclassified non-coding RNA is filed under the name Thrips palmi. Its description in RNAcentral is "transcriptional adapter 2-beta, transcript variant X2". The record is from RNAcentral. Lineage: Eukaryota; Metazoa; Arthropoda; Insecta; Thysanoptera; Thripidae.
UCGCGAGGUCUGACCCGGCUGAGGCCUGGAAAUGCAGAUUGUCCGUAGUGGCGUCCCCGUCACGUCGAUCCAUUUUUCUGCCUUCGUGACCCGCCCGCCCGCGCCACUAACCUCAAUGGCGUCAAACAUGUUCGCCAAAUCACAAUGCACCUACUGCCAAGAAGACGUAACAGGACUACGUGUAAAAUGCGUCGAGUGCACUGAUUUUGAAAUAUGCCUUCAGUGUUUUGCAGCAGGUGCUGAAAUUGGACCACAUAAAAAUAAUCACCCUUAUCAAUUUAAAGACUCAGGAUCUGUCGGACUUAGUUUUGGUAAAAGUGGUUGGACAGCUAAAGAAGAACAGCACCUUCUUGAUGCUAUUGAGCAGUAUGGGUUUGGAAACUGGGAAGAUAUUAGUCGUCACAUUGAAACCAGAACUCCUGAAGAAGCUAGAGAGGAGUACAUUUCUCGCUAUUUAGAGGGUAAUGUUGGCAAAGCUACAUGGACUUCAGCUGCCAGCUCGCGCCCUCUUUUAGCAGAAGUCUCACUCCCUGAUGAAGGUCCGCUUGCUCCUGAACAAAUUAACAAGUUACCACCAUUGGACAUUACUGCUGAAGAAUGUGUUCAGUUGGGCUACAUGCCUCUCAGGGAUGAUUAUGAAAAGGAGUAUGACAAUGAUGCUGAAUCACUUGCUUCCCCACUAUCAAUUCACCCCACAGAAGAUGAUGAACUUGACAUAGCACUGAAACUUGCUCAAGUGGAUAUGUAUACUAGACGACUAAGAGAAAGGGCUAGACGCAAAAGAGUUGGCAGAGAUUACCAGCUUGUGGCAAAUUUCUUCCAGCCUACUACUCGCAAAGAGCGUCCUAUUGUGAAAAAGAAGCUGACCCGAGAGGAGAGGGAGUUCCAAGAGCACAUGCGUGUUUUAACACAAUUUCAUUCAUCUCAAGAACAUGAGCAGUUCUUGUCAGGCAUUCGACGCCAGCGUGAGCUUGAAGUUCGAAUUAAUGAGUUGAUGAGAUACCGUCGCCAUGGAAUUACUACAGUUGAGGAAUGUCAUCAUUUUGAACAGCUCAGACAAGAAGCCAGGGAUAAGCGCAGGAACUCGCUGCAAUGUGUCCCUCUCUCCUCUGUCAGCGCAGUCAAAAAGAAGAGAAAAAGGCGGCUCAUACUCAAUCAUAAAAAAAUCAACAUCUACGGGAAACGAUCGCUGCUUGUUUCCCGUGAGUCCAGAUAGCGGUGCCGAGGGUGGCGGGGACGCUGACGGCGACGACACCAUGGCAGGGGACACUCCUCAGGACGUCGCGGCCCUCCCCGGCUACCCUUUGCUUUCCAAAGAUGAGGCUAAGCUAUGUUCAUCAUUAAAUAUUACACCUAAUCAAUAUUAUGGCGCUAAAUACUCUCUUCUCGAG